Molecule: ribosomal RNA, 291 nt
Filed under: uncultured bacterium
Lineage: Bacteria
Description: partial 16S ribosomal RNA
Rfam family: Bacterial small subunit ribosomal RNA
Source: RNAcentral
UGCCAGCAGCCGCGGUAAUACGUAGGUGGCAAGCGUUGUCUGGAAUUAUUGGGCGUAAAGCGCGCGCAGGCGGCUUCUUAAGUCUGAUGUGAAAUCUCGGGGCUCAACCCCGAGCGGCCAUUGGAAACUGGGGAGCUUGAGUGCAGAAGAGGAGAGUGGAAUUCCACGUGUAGCGGUGAAAUGCGUAGAGAUGUGGAGGAACACCAGUGGCGAAGGCGACUCUCUGGUCUGUAACUGACGCUGAGGCGCGAAAGCGUGGGGAGCAAACAGGAUUAGAUACCCUGGUAGUCC